RNAcentral lists this ribosomal RNA (253 nucleotides) under uncultured bacterium. RNAcentral's name for it is "partial 16S ribosomal RNA". It matches the Rfam family "Bacterial small subunit ribosomal RNA", at positions 524 to 776 of the family's 1533-position model. The record is from RNAcentral.
UACGUAGGGGGCAAGCGUUGUCCGGAUUCAUUGGGCGUAAAGAGCGUGUAGGCGGCCAGGUAGGUCGGUUGUGAAAACUGGAGGCUCAACCUUCAGAGGUCGACCGAAACCAUCUGGCUAGAGUCUGGGAGAGGAGAGUGGAAUUCCUGGUGUAGCGGUGAAAUGCGCAGAUAUCAGGAAGAACACCCGUGGCGAAAGCGGCUCUCUGGAACGGUACUGACGCUGAGACGCGAAAGCGUGGGGAGCGAACAGG